CGGUGUCCAUCUGGAACUCAUCAUGCCGCAGAAGCACUCUGGCUGCUGUGCGUCUCUGGCUUUCUACCGGCGCUCCGUAGAAGCUUCCACAUUUUACCUUUAGCAUCCACGCUACUACUGAUGCUGUCAGCAGAAUUAACAUCCACAGUCCCACACCUUCAGGGUUCAACCAAGGCAAACAGGUCCUGGGUGCGGAACCAGACGAAGUGCGGCUCAUUAGACCCCUGAUGAAGAGAAACAUGAUGGAUCCAUGAUUUCACUCGCACAGACGCGGGUCACCGGGGGCCCCCCUGGAGCCAGGCCAGGGCUCGAUGGUAACCUGUGUACGUCCCUCCUCAGCUACGUCCAGAGAACCGAAAAAAAAUCUACAAUUUCAGUUUGAACGCCUGGAUCUGCCAUGCAUUAAAGACGCAUUUUAAUGAGGACUGCGGAAGUUGUAACAUUACUCUACAGUGAAAUUUUGAGUUAUGAGAAGAUUCUAUGGGAAUAUAGAACAUAUGAGUUUCUAGUGAAUGCGGCACCAGCAGAAGAAAUGUAGCGGAAAAGGGAUUAGAGAUGAGAAGUCAUGCAGAAGGAAACGCAUCCAGACAAAGAAACCGACGUGGUUCCCCCGUCCCCAUAUAGACAAUUGCCCGUAAGAUGUAAAAAUUACCAGGUUUUUGUGAUGAGAAAAAUGAGAAUACGAUCAAUUAUUUAAAAACUUUUCCCACCUUUAACGUUACCUAAAAUCUGUACAAUUCGAUGGAAAAGCAAACAAAUCUGUUGAGAAAAUAUAAAAAAUUAAAAACGUACAAUAAGCUGGUUGCACAAG
This is a long non-coding RNA of Brienomyrus brachyistius, 811 nucleotides long. RefSeq lists it as uncharacterized. The transcript is spliced from 3 exons. NCBI's taxonomy places the organism in Eukaryota, Metazoa, Chordata, Actinopteri, Osteoglossiformes, Mormyridae. The record is from RefSeq and is a predicted model, not a curated record.